RNAcentral lists this ribosomal RNA (745 nucleotides) under Kocuria sp. RNAcentral describes it as "bacterial SSU rRNA". It matches the Rfam family "Bacterial small subunit ribosomal RNA", at positions 68 to 823 of the family's 1533-position model. The record is from RNAcentral. Lineage: Bacteria; Bacillati; Actinomycetota; Actinomycetes; Micrococcales; Micrococcaceae.
GAUGAUCUCCCGCUUGCGGGGGUGAUUAGUGGCGAACGGGUGAGUAAUACGUGAGUAACCUGCCCUUGACUCUGGGAUAAGCCUGGGAAACCGGGUCUAAUACUGGAUACUACUUCCUGCCGCAUGGUGGGGGGUGGAAAGGGUUCUACUGGUUUUGGAUGGGCUCACGGCCUAUCAGCUUGUUGGUGGGGUAAUGGCUCACCAAGGCGACGACGGGUAGCCGGCCUGAGAGGGUGACCGGCCACACUGGGACUGAGACACGGCCCAGACUCCUACGGGAGGCAGCAGUGGGGAAUAUUGCACAAUGGGCGGAAGCCUGAUGCAGCGACGCCGCGUGAGGGAUGACGGCCUUCGGGUUGUAAACCUCUUUCAGCAGGGAAGAAGCCACAAGUGACGGUACCUGCAGAAGAAGCGCCGGCUAACUACGUGCCAGCAGCCGCGGUAAUACGUAGGGCGCAAGCGUUGUCCGGAAUUAUUGGGCGUAAAGAGCUCGUAGGCGGUUUGUCGCGUCUGCUGUGAAAGCCCGGGGCUCAACCCCGGGUCUGCAGUGGGUACGGGCAGACUAGAGUGCAGUAGGGGAGACUGGAAUUCCUGGUGUAGCGGUGAAAUGCGCAGAUAUCAGGAGGAACACCGAUGGCGAAGGCAGGUCUCUGGGCUGUUACUGACGCUGAGGAGCGAAAGCAUGGGGAGCGAACAGGAUUAGAUACCCUGGUAGUCCAUGCCGUAAACGUUGGGCACUAGGUGU